GGCGGAGGAAAAGAAACCAACAGGGAUUGCCUCAGUAACGGCGAGUGAAGCGGCAACAGCUCAAAUUUGAAAUCUGGUCCCCUCUGGGGGCCCGAGUUGUAAUUUGAAGAGGAUGCUUUUGGCGAGGCGCCUUCCGAGUGCCCUGGAACGGGACGCCACAGAGGGUGAGAGCCCCGUAUGGUAGGACGCCGAGCCUCUGUAAAGCUCCUUCGACGAGUCGAGUAGUUUGGGAAUGCUGCUCAAAAUGGGAGGUAAACCCCUUCUAAAGCUAAAUAUUGGCCAGAGACCGAUAGCGCACAAGUAGAGUGAUCGAAAGAUGAAAAGCACUUUGAAAAGAGAGUUAAACAGCACGUGAAAUUGUUGAAAGGGAAGCGCUUGCGACCAGACUUGCGCCCGUCGGAUCAACCGUCCCUCGUGGGCGGCGCACUCCGGCGGGCUCAGGCCAGCAUCAGUUUUCCUGGGGGUAGAAAGGCGGUGGGAAUGUAGCUCUUCGGAGUGUUAUAGCCCGCCGUGUAAUGCCCUCGGGGGGACUGAGGACCGCGCGUAUGCAAGGAUGCUGGCGUAAUGGUCGUCAGCGACCCGUCUUGAAMMACGG
RNAcentral lists this ribosomal RNA (595 nucleotides) under Cephalotrichum purpureofuscum. Its description in RNAcentral is "eukaryotic LSU rRNA". It matches the Rfam family "Eukaryotic large subunit ribosomal RNA", at positions 49 to 664 of the family's 3401-position model. The record is from RNAcentral. Lineage: Eukaryota; Fungi; Ascomycota; Sordariomycetes; Microascales; Microascaceae.